CAUCUUUUUAUUGCACAACAAUGACUCAUUUUGUUAGGAACGCUUUAACAACAUUUCCACCAACCGACAGACCAGCUUAUUGAGAGAGACCAGAGCCUGGCUCUGAGUUCUGGACCAGCUGAGAGAGAGAGAGAGUAGGACAGCCGUAUACCCUGUCCCAAAGCCACCUUUAGGUCCUACCCCUAUUGCACGUAUGUUCAUCUGAAAGGAUUGGGUAGGUGGAAGUAUUGUGGUGGAUGUUCCAGCAAGCCUAUCAAAGGAAAGAGUGGAGCUAUUACCAUAUUGAGUACAUCUAUCCACUCCUUGCAGAUAGUCACUAUAUGUGAAGUACUUAGGAGUAGGGGUUAUUGGUCAGUUUGGGGUUGGACAGCUAGAUAUCAGCUCAGACAGAGUGCAGUAUGGAGUUCAGUGGAGUGUCAAAAUACUUUAACCCUUACAGACCCAAACACAAGCUGAACCUGAGGGGCUUUAAGACAACCUCAAUGGGGAGCGACAAACAUUGAGUGACAACGAGAGAAAUUUGUUUUGUUUUUUCAUUGCCAGAUGAGGAUAAACCCACAGUGGCUGGAAUAUAGAAUUCCACUUGAGUUCUGAGAACCUUUGCACUGAAACCACUGUUAGGAAGGCUAGCUGCAGUGAUCUAGAAUCUCUUUUGUCAAAAGAUUCCAAAAUAAACUGCUUUUUCAGAUGGCAGCUCUCAGAUUGCAAUUGUGUCUGUUUCUGCUUGAGUGGGCCUGAAGAUCUAGCUUGGUGAUCUCAAGUGGGACCAACAAUGUAGAAGGAAAGGCACAGGUACACACACACACACGCGCGCACACACACACACACGCGCGCCCGCCCGCCCACACACACACACACACACACACUAUACAGAGAGUCCUAAAAGCAGAGAGAAGGCUUAGAUAAGAAGGCUACAGUAGCUACAACACUAAGAUAUAAUAAUUGUCAGACUAGUUGACAUUUUAAAUAAUUGUCGUUGGUUACACAGAAAUGUCUAGAUUUGAAGGUCCCACAAGGAAUUAUCAACCAAACAUCCCCUCUAGGUCAGAUGCAAAUACAUUGGUUCGUCAAACAGACAGAUAUGAGAAACAGGAAUCAAGCUUGGUCCUGCUGCUGCUCCCCUGGUCUUCAGAUGAACAGUUUUGGGGUGUCCAUUUUCAUUUGAAUGAUUCUUGAUUUGAGUUCAGUUGUCCACAAACACUGUUUGUUGUCUGAGGUGAUAUCUAGACGGCGUAAACUCCACGAAAGAGCUUGUUUUGAGUUCACCCUCUCAUUGUAGAAAAUGUUUGGAUUACACCAGAUUGUGGUACAAACACGACAAUGUGCCUCCAUAACUCUGUGUAUGUCACACAUACAGUAGAUGAGUAGAGUACAGAGCGCAUGGUGUUUGAAGGCUCAAACCAACAAAAAUGUGUAAUUUUGUGUUUCCCAAACCAGGGAAAUUGAUAUAUACUGACAUUGUCAUUUUAAUUCAGAAGUACUAGUCUUUAGCUAACAUUUGUACAUAUAUUGCAAGUUGAAAAUAAAAACACAUAUUUGCACUUCUACAAGCAUGUACAUACCACAAAAAUAGACUAUGUGGAAACUAGAUAUACAAGGCACAAGGUACAGUAUAUGCUGUCCAUGUGCGUUGGGGAAAACUGUAAACAAAAACAACAACAAAACAAACAAACAAAAAAGACGUAUGGAAACAGAAACAUAAAAUACACUGAUAUGCUAAGACAUCAACACUAAGGUAUUCAGUACCCUUAAUAUCUUUCAUAUCUGGUACGGCAAGAAUUUGAGAUUUUAAACUGAGAUAACCGUCUCUCAAUAAUCGUUGGUUGGUUUCAAGCAUAUGUGGGGAAUCUCACUUGCAUUCCAUUGCAAGUCUCUUUUUCACAGAGAACAAAAGCAACAGUAAAUGAACAGUAAGACUUUACUUGAAUACGCCAUCUUAAAACCUGCAUAACACUGUCUUAUACAUAACAGAUGCAAGGGACUCAAGAAAAUUCACUGAGGUGCCAUUCAUUGAUCAAGAGUCAUGCUGGGUGCAUGGGAACUCUUGCACGGAAACAGAGAUGAUAUUGCCUGAACAUAGCAAUUUUUUCUCUGCCCUUCUUUUUUUCACUGCAGGUGGACAAUCAUUCAAAUCUUUACAAAUGAUAUCAGCACAGUCCUUAUAGCAGCUUUGUAGGGCAAACUCGGGUAUUAGCACAUACAAGGAAUAGGUAAGAGGACCAAUUGAUUGCAAUGACACAGCAUUGAAGCGCACAACUGGAGUUCACUCAUUUGGACUUAACUCCUUCAUAAUUGUAUAGGCAUUUUGCCAUGCACUUUUCCUAUGGGAGAAAACAAGCAGUCAUUAUAGUAAUAUGUUGGGGACUAUGAUCUGACUUCAAAUAUGUGACAGUUAAAAAUGAUAGGCUCAAAGCAUUAGAUGUUGAUGUGGCUCAGAAUAUAAGUGAUAAACUUGUCUAUAAUAAUAAUUGCUAUCGAGUGAUCCAGAGCUUAUGUGAAAUUUAGGUCAAAUCAAUAGUGAACCAAUGAGGGAUCAAUAAAACCAUACAGAUGUACAGUAACUGUAGCUAGGUCAAACCAAUAGUGAACCAAUGAGGGAUCAAUAAAACCAUACAGAUGUACAGUAACUGUAGCUAGGUCAAAUCAAUAGUGAACCAAUGAGGGAUCAAUAAAACCAUACAGAUGUACAGUAACUGUAGCUAGGUCAAAUCAAUAGUGAACCAAUGAGGGAUCAAUAAAACCAUACAGAUGUACAGUAACUGUAGCUAGGUCAAAUCAAUAGUGAACCAAUGAGGGAUCAAUAAAACCAUACAGAUGUACAGUAACUGUAGCUAGGUCAAAUCAAUAGUGAACCAAUGAGGGAUCAAUAAAACCAUACAGAUGUACAGUAACUGUAGCUAGGUCAAAUCAAUAGUGAACCAAUAAGGGAUCAAUAAAACCAUACAGAUGUACAGUAACUGUAGCUAGGUCAAAUCAAUAGUGAACCAAUAAGGGAUCAAUAAAACCAUACAGAUGUACAGUAACUGUAGCUAGGUCAAAUCAAUAGUGAACCAAUGAGGGAUCAAUAAAACCAUACAGAUGUACAGUAACUGUAGCUAGGUCAAAUCAAUAGUGAACCAAUAAGGGAUCAAUAAAACCAUACAGAUGUACAGUAACUGUAGCUAGGUCAAAUCAAUAGUGAACCAAUGAGGGAUCAAUAAAACCAUACAGAUGUACAGUAACUGUAGCUAGGUCAAAUCAAUAGUGAACCAAUAAGGGAUCAAUAAAACCAUACAGAUGUACAGUAACUGUAGCUAGGUCAAAUCAAUAGUGAACCAAUGAGGGAUCAAUAAAACCAUACAGAUGUACAGUAACUGUAGCUAGGUCAAACCAAUAGUGAACCAAUGAGGGAUCAAUAAAACCAUACAGAUGUACAGUAACUGUAGCUAGGUCAAACCAAUAGUGAACCAAUGAGGGAUCAAUAAAACCAUACAGAUGUACAGUAACUGUAGCUAGGUCAAACCAAUAGUGAACCAAUGAGGGAUCAAUAAAACCAUACAGAUGUACAGUAACUGUAGCUAGGUCAAAUCAAUAGUGAACCAAUAAGGGAUCAAUAAAACCAUACAGAUGUACAGUAACUGUAGCUAGGUCAAAUCAAUAGUGAACCAAUGAGGGAUCAAUAAAACCAUACAGAUGUACAGUAACUGUAGCUAGGUCAAAUCAAUAGUGAACCAAUGAGGGAUCAAUAAAACCAUACAGAUGUACAGUAACUGUAGCUAGGUCAAAUCAAUAGUGAACCAAUAAGGGAUCAAUAAAACCAUACAGAUGUACAGUAACUGUAGCUAGGUCAAAUCAAUAGUGAACCAAUGAGGGAUCAAUAAAACCAUACAGAUGUACAGUAACUGUAGCUAGGUCAAAUCAAUAGUGAACCAAUGAGGGAUCAAUAAAACCAUACAGAUGUACAGUAACUGUAGCUAGGUCAAAUCAAUAGUGAACCAAUGAGGGAUCAAUAAAACCAUACAGAUGUACAGUAACUGUAGCUAGGUCAAAUCAAUAGUGAACCAAUGAGGGAUCAAUAAAACCAUACAGAUGUACAGUAACUGUAGCUAGGUCAAAUCAAUAGUGAACCAAUGAGGGAUCAAUAAAACCAUACAGAUGUACAGUAACUGUAGCUAGGUCAAAUCAAUAGUGAACCAAUAAGGGAUCAAUAAAACCAUACAGAUGUACAGUAACUGUAGCUAGGUCAAAUCAAUAGUGAACCAAUGAGGGAUCAAUAAAACCAUACAGAUGUACAGUAACUGUAGCUAGGUCAAAUCAAUAGUGAACCAAUGAGGGAUCAAUAAAACCAUACAGAUGUACAGUAACUGUAGCUAGGUCAAAUCAAUAGUGAACCAAUAAGGGAUCAAUAAAACCAUACAGAUGUACAGUAACUGUAGCUAGGUCAAAUCAAUAGUGAACCAAUGAGGGAUCAAUAAAACCAUACAGAUGUACAGUAACUGUAGCUAGGUCAAAUCAAUAGUGAACCAAUAAGGGAUCAAUAAAACCAUACAGAUGUACAGUAACUGUAGCUAGGUAAAACCAAUAGUGAACCAAUAAGGGAUCAAUAAAACCAUACAGAUGUACAGUAACUGUAGCUAGGUCAAAUCAAUAGUGAACCAAUAAGGGAUCAAUAAAACCAUACAGAUGUACAGUAACUGUAGCUAGGUCAAAUCAAUAGUGAACCAAUAAGGGAUCAAUAAAACCAUACAGAUGUACAGUAACUGUAGCUAGGUCAAAUCAAUAGUGAACCAAUAAGGGAUCAAUAAAACCAUACAGAUGUACAGUAACUGUAGCUAGGUCAAAUCAAUAGUGAACCAAUAAGGGAUCAAUAAAACCAUACAGAUGUACAGUAACUGUAGCUAGGUCAAAUCAAUAGUGAACCAAUAAGGGAUCAAUAAAACCAUACAGAUGUACAGUAACUGUAGCUAGGUCAAAUCAAUAGUGAACCAAUAAGGGAUCAAUAAAACCAUACAGAUGUACAGUAACUGUAGCUAGGUCAAAUCAAUAGUGAACCAAUAAGGGAUCAAUAAAACCAUACAGAUGUACAGUAACUGUAGCUAGGUCAAAUCAAUAGUGAACCAAUAAGGGAUCAAUAAAACCAUACAGAUGUACAGUAACUGUAGCUAGGUCAAAUCAAUAGUGAACCAAUAAGGGAUCAAUAAAACCAUACAGAUGUACAGUAACUGUAGCUAGGUCAAAUCAAUAGUGAACCAAUAAGGGAUCAAUAAAACCAUACAGAUGUACAGUAACUGUAGCUAGGUCAAAUCAAUAGUGAACCAAUAAGGGAUCAAUAAAACCAUACAGAUGUACAGUAACUGUAGCUAGGUCAAAUCAAUAGUGAACCAAUAAGGGAUCAAUAAAACCAUACAGAUGUACAGUAACUGUAGCUAGGUCAAAUCAAUAGUGAACCAAUAAGGGAUCAAUAAAACCAUAC
Long non-coding RNA from Oncorhynchus keta (chum salmon), 5452 nucleotides. RefSeq lists it as uncharacterized. The record is from RefSeq and is a predicted model, not a curated record. The transcript has 5 exons. Lineage: Eukaryota; Metazoa; Chordata; Actinopteri; Salmoniformes; Salmonidae.